This 784-nucleotide ribosomal RNA is filed under the name uncultured bacterium. RNAcentral describes it as "bacterial SSU rRNA". It matches the Rfam family "Bacterial small subunit ribosomal RNA", at positions 1 to 773 of the family's 1533-position model. The record is from RNAcentral.
AAUUCGAUUGAGUUUGAUCAUGGCUCAGAUUGAACGCUGGCGGCAUGCCUAACACAUGCAAGUCGAACGGCAGCACAGCAGAGCUUGCUCUGUGGGUGGCGAGUGGCGGACGGGUGAGUAAUGCAUCGGGACCUACCUGAACGUGGGGGAUAACGUAGGGAAACUUACGCUAAUACCGCGUACGUCCUACGGGAGAAAGCGGGGGACCUUCGGGCCUCGCGCGGUCAGACGGACCGAUGUUCGAUUAGCUAGUUGGUAAGGUAAUGGCUUACCAAGGCGACGAUCGAUAGCUGGUCUGAGAGGAUGAUCAGCCACACUGGAACUGAGACACGGUCCAGACUCCUACGGGAGGCAGCAGUGGGGAAUAUUGGACAAUGGGCGCAAGCCUGAUCCAGCAAUGCCGCGUGUGUGAAGAAGGCCUUCGGGUUGUAAAGCACUUUUAUCGGGAGCGAAAUACCACGGGUUAAUACCCUAUGGGGCUGACGGUACCCGAGGAAUAAGCACCGGCUAACUUCGUGCCAGCAGCCGCGGUAAUACGAAGGGUGCAAGCGUUAAUCGGAAUUACUGGGCGUAAAGGGUGCGUAGGCGGUUAGUUAAGUCUGUUGUGAAAUCCCCGGGCUCAACCUGGGAAUGGCAAUGGAUACUGGCUAGCUAGAGUGUGUCAGAGGAUGGUGGAAUUUCCGGUGUAGCGGUGAAAUGCGUAGAGAUCGGAAGGAACAUCAGUGGCGAANGCGGCCAUCUGGGACAACACUGACGCUGAAGCACGAAAGCGUGGGGAGCAAAC